UACAUUUAGGACUGUGUGUGGGUGGAUCCCAGCUGUAUCAAACAUUGCUUGUGUGGCUCAUCAAGUAACUUAGUACUAGACAAUGUGCAUUGUGAUGCUGAGAGAGGUCAACGUGCACGUGACUCUUCUUCUGUAGGGAAACUUAUGACUUGUGGCAGCUUUCAGUCUUCAUUAUACAGUAAGUGCCAAGCUGCCCAAGAUGUCACAGUGGCUUUUCAAGGCUUAGUAAUCUGGAGGAAGCACAUACAAGAGAUACCAUAGAUCUUCAUUUCCAUAGAGCUUUUGUCCUGUGUUGCAAGCCAGUCAUAGGGACUCUAGAAGAAACUUAUAUAGGAUGGGUGAGAAACUGGAGAACUAUAGUAAGAAAAAUAGGCACCAGGAUAUCUGCCAGUGUUGACAUAGAUAAUCAGUAGAGAGGAGCCUUUUGAAAUUCAACACAGAGCCUAUGUUUGAAGGUGGCUGAUGCCAAAAGAGGAAAGAGGAGCAUGGCUGAGUCCUCUGGUUCAACUAGAUCUUGCAGGAGUUUUCAGCCUGUCCAUUGAAAGCAAUCAGUUCCAAAUUAUACAUGCAAAACAUUAAAUAAACAACAAGAAGAGGUCAUAGCCAAACGACUGACACAUUCCUGAAAGCAAGGAGAGGAGGACUCACUUGCCUAAACUUAAACAUGGAUGUGCGUCAUGAGGACCUGAGGUGUCCUCAUGGAAGGGGCAGAUAUCACCCACAGUGGAACUGUAUUGCUUCAACAUCAAGCCAGGUAAUAUCCUAGGAACCUGAGAUUAGCUAUGCUUGAAGUUUUAGAGAAGGAAUUUAUUCCACCUCACAUUUCCUUUAGAAAACAAACACACAACCCCUAAAUCCUGACAGAAAUAUGGA
This is a long non-coding RNA of Passer domesticus (house sparrow), 873 nucleotides long. RefSeq lists it as uncharacterized. NCBI's taxonomy places the organism in Eukaryota, Metazoa, Chordata, Aves, Passeriformes, Passeridae. The record is from RefSeq and is a predicted model, not a curated record. The transcript is spliced from 3 exons.